CCUACGGGAGGCAGCAGUGGGGAAUAUUGGACAAUGGGGGGAACCCUGAUCCAGCCAUGCCGCGUGUGUGAAGAAGGCCCUCGGGUUGUAAAGCACUUUCAGUGAGGAAGAACGCCUGGUGGUUAAUACCCAUCAGGAAAGACAUCACUCACAGAAGAAGCACCGGCUAACUCCGUGCCAGCAGCCGCGGUAAUACGGAGGGUGCGAGCGUUAAUCGGAAUUACUGGGCGUAAAGCGCGCGUAGGUGGCUUGAUAAGCCGGUUGUGAAAGCCCCGGGCUCAACCUGGGAACGGCAGCCGGAACUGUCAAGCUAGAGUGCAGGAGAGGAAGGUAGAAGUCCCGGUGUAGCGGUGAAAUGCGUAGAGAUCGGGAGGAAUACCAGUGGCGACGGCGGCCUUCUGGACUGACACUGACACUGAGGUGCGAAAGCGUGGGUAGCAAACAGGAUUAGAUACCCUUGUAGUC
RNAcentral lists this ribosomal RNA (465 nucleotides) under Vreelandella stevensii. RNAcentral describes it as "partial 16S ribosomal RNA". It matches the Rfam family "Bacterial small subunit ribosomal RNA", at positions 338 to 795 of the family's 1533-position model. The record is from RNAcentral. Lineage: Bacteria; Pseudomonadati; Pseudomonadota; Gammaproteobacteria; Oceanospirillales; Halomonadaceae.